CGAUUAAAGCUCCCUUCGGGGAGUGCAUAAAGUGGCGCACGGGUGAGUAACACGUAAGUAAUCUACCCUCGGGUGGGGAAUAACGUUCGGAAACGGACGCUAAUACCGCAUAAUGCAGCGGCACCGCAAGGUGACAGUUGUUAAAGAUUUAUUGCCUGGGGAGGAGCUUGCGGCAGAUUAGCUUGUUGGUAAGGUAACGGCUUACCAAGGCGACGAUCUGUAUCCGGUCUAAGAGGACGGUCGGACACACUGACACUGAAUAACGGGUCAGACUCCUACGGGAGGCAGCAGUCGGGAAUUUUGGGCAAUGGGGGAAACCCUGACCCAGCAACGCCGCGUGAAGGAUGAAGUAUUUCGGUAUGUAAACUUCGAAAGAAUAGGAAGAAUUAAUGACGGUACUAUUUAUAAGGUCCGGCUAACUACGUGCCAGCAGCCGCGGUAAUACGUAGGGACCAAGCGUUGUUCGGAUUUACUGGGCGUAAAGGGCGCGUAGGCGGCGCGGUAAGUCACUUGUGAAAUCUCUGAGCUUAACUCAGAACGGCCAAGUGAUACUGCAGUGCUAGAGUGUGGAAGGGGCAAUCGGAAUUCUUGGUGUAGCGGUGAAAUGCGUAGAUUUCAAGAGGAACACCUGAGGUGAAGACGGGGUCGCUGGGCCAACACUGACGCUGAUGCGCGAAAGGCCAGGGGAGCAAACGGGAAUUAAAUACCCCGGUAGUCCUGGCCCUAAACCGAUGAAUACUUGGUGUCUGGAGUUUUAAUGCUCCGGGUGCCGUCGCUAACGUUUUAGUAUUCCCCUGGGGGAGUCGCUCGCAAGAGUGAACUCAAAGG
This 828-nucleotide ribosomal RNA is filed under the name uncultured Bacillota bacterium. Its description in RNAcentral is "bacterial SSU rRNA". It matches the Rfam family "Bacterial small subunit ribosomal RNA", at positions 66 to 907 of the family's 1533-position model. The record is from RNAcentral. Lineage: Bacteria; Bacillati; Bacillota.